UGAGCUUCUUCCUUUAUUUUGUUUGCCUCUUACCCUAGCUUCAAAUAAACAGUUAGUCCUUAUGGCCUCCCCAACAGCACUCUUGACUGUAAAACCCCGUUCCAUACCUGUUACUCAGUCAUUGCUUUCCUAUAUCUCAGAGGCCUCAUUUCUUUAGUUGGCCUUCACAAAGGGUCCAUCUCAUACCUCUUCACUCAUCUGAAUCUGUUUGUCCUUCUGUAUUUGGAUGACAGCAGUAUUGCUCACAGCUUUUAGAGGUUUUUUUUUUUUUUUGAAUUUCUGUAGUAGCACACCAUACUCUCUUUUUUUAACAAUUGGUUUACAUUUUUGUUAGCUCCUUGUAGUGUGAUCUGAUUGUGCCCACACACAGCAGCACAUGGAGUAAAGCUUAUCCUGGUCACACAGACCUAUGUAUGAAGUAAUUCAUUGGCCACUCUCUCACACAAGCUGAAAAAUUUGUCUGUCACACUCUUCCCACCUGUGGUUCACAGCUGUAACAGCAGCAUCCCUGUCAAUAGCUAGUGAUAUUCUCAUAGGCCUUUUUUCCCUUUCCACCUCUUCCUGGAACAGCCCAUAAGACACUACCACAAGGCCUAGAUCUCCUGCCCCAUACUGACAGGGAGAGAUGUGGGGUCUCUCUGGAUCAAACUAUGGACUAUCUAUCAAAUGAACCACGGGUUGCUUGAGGAGAGGCCUAAUUGCUCUGCUCAGCUUUGGAAUGGAUCCUGGAGGUUACCCAGUAGGCAGCUCUUUAGAGCUAGAUCCACAUAUGAUAACAGUUUGAGUGUAUAUCCAUAGUCCAGAGACACAUAAACAAUGAGACAAGGUGAGUGAAACUUCCUGCUGAUUGCAACGUAGCAUAAAGUGAAAAAAAAAAAAAAAGAUGUUGAAUGAAGGUGACACAAAAAAUUUACAGUUACAGUUGAAUCAUCUGUGGGAUUGUCUUUCACAUAUAAAAAUUUCCAAAAGAUUUGUGUGACCAAAGAGUAAAGGAUAUCCUGAAGAAUACUGAGGAAUUUCCACUUAUUGUAGUUCAUUUGGAUAUCAACUCCACACAAGAGAAGGGAGAUGCACAGUCUAGAAGAACAGUUGUGUGUACC
RNAcentral lists this long non-coding RNA (1100 nucleotides) under Numida meleagris (helmeted guineafowl). Its description in RNAcentral is "lncRNA (ENSNMEG00000005515.1)". Lineage: Eukaryota; Metazoa; Chordata; Aves; Galliformes; Numididae. The record is from RNAcentral.